This 155-nucleotide ribosomal RNA is filed under the name uncultured bacterium. Its description in RNAcentral is "partial 16S ribosomal RNA". It matches the Rfam family "Bacterial small subunit ribosomal RNA", at positions 355 to 507 of the family's 1533-position model. The record is from RNAcentral.
UGAGGAAUAUUGGACAAUGGGCGCAAGCCUGAUCCAGCCAUGCCGCGUGCAGGACGACGCAUCUAUGGUGUGUAAACUGCUUUUGCACAGGAAGAAACAUCCCGACGUGUCGGGACUUGACGGUACUGUGAGAAUAAGGAUCGGCUAACUCCGUG